RNAcentral lists this long non-coding RNA (2381 nucleotides) under Nicotiana benthamiana. Its description in RNAcentral is "long non-coding RNA (NBEN_LNC016507)". Lineage: Eukaryota; Viridiplantae; Streptophyta; Magnoliopsida; Solanales; Solanaceae. The record is from RNAcentral.
AUGAAAACCAUCAAAUACGCUUAAAGAAAAUUAUGUAGGAACUUUUCAUUUCCAAAUAGUCUAUACAACAAACUAUAUGACGCUCCAUAAUACAUUGUGUACAUGCACAUGAAAAGAAAAAAAAAUCAAAUAUUUUGCUCUCCUACUUGUUGAAGAACUUUAUCAUGCUAUCUUAAAAAUAAAUACAAAGGAUCAUAUCUUCAAACUAGUCAUCUGAGUAACUACAUUUUCUUUUUCAGUUGUUGAAGUACUUUGUCCUUGCUAUUAAGAAAAACAAAGAACACUAAUAUCAUGUGUCCAAGAAAAAGUGUUGAUCCUAAGUCAAGUACUAAAGAAAGGUCAGCUAAAACUACAAAACUGCGCCAAGUAAUUGUCAAGAAAUUGAGGGCAUAAACUGAAUUUGCACUGUAUUAGUGAAAUGAGUAAUAUUAAAUUUUGAACUCAAAACUGAUUGUGCAACCAGAGGGUCCAGAAACAUAUUCCGUUAUGUGAAUCUAAUAGAAGGAACAUUGAUCACAGUUCCCUUCUCAGUGUUAUCGUUGAUUCAACUGCCUCCCCCAACAAUUAGUAUAUCUUGCAUCAAAGUACAAAAAAAUAUUUUCUCAUUAAGGAAUUUUUAUAUUUAUCUCAUGUUGUAAACUCACACCAUGCUCUAUUGUUAGAGAUGAAACCGUUAAGUGGUGAUCAGCAACAGAGUCUCAUUAAGGGAAACAAGAUAGUUUGUUUCCCAAGGUCUGAUGGUUUCUUGCCCUUUCCUACUAACCUUCGACAAAACAGCACCCUACAGACAUACAUAGUAAUAAAUUUAUCCACGUUGAAAAAGAUCAUCAAAGAUGUUCAAAUGGAAGAUUAUCCAUAUAGAUAGAUAGGGAAGAACUUCACAGAAGCCCAUGGCAAAAUAAAAUGGUUAGUACAAUAAGAGCACAAUCAUGGAAUAAUGGUCCGUUAACUUUUCUGAAAAUUAUCUAGCAUGUAUAUUCUAUGUCCUACAAUAUAUUAAUAUUAUCUAUGAUACUAACUCUGAUUCUAUUAUAAAUAAACCACACAAUGCCCGCUCCAUCAGCUCGUUGCUACACAAUUCACAUAAACUAGUUGGAAAGUUGGAAAAUAUUGACAACUACAUAUAUAACAUAUCAUACUUAUACUAUGUCAGUAGCACCCUAUAGAUAGAUUAAUUGAUUCUUGUGAAUGUACAGAACACACCAGUUUGCAUCUCUUUCCCUGUUUAAUAUUGUGCAGAAAAGCAUAAAAUAAGGACAGCUAGUAACAAGGACACAACAAACUAAUGAGUAUAUAGACAUAGAACCGCUAGAGUAACUAAACUUUGACUGACCCACAACUACCAUCUAACAGCAACUACAUCCACCUCCAAUCAACAAAGUAAUACUAACAUAUUUAUCUUCCUCUAUCAAAUAUAUAGACCUAAACCUCAUAUUCCAUUUAUUUGCAAUACUUCCCCAUCAAACCAAGCAACAUUGAUUGGUCCUCAAUCCACAUGCUAACCUACAAUGAUAUUUGAUGGAGUGCGCUACCAAUAAUGAAACUUUCCGUUAGAAAAGAAAUCCAAAAAAAGUUCUAUUUUUCUUUUGUUUAAAAUAGUACGAAAAAACUAUAAUCAUUUACAUUUCAUAAGAUAGAGGCUAAAAGAAUACAUGGUUAUAAAGAGCAAGAUUCAACAAAUUUCUCCGACAACUAAGAACAUCAAUCCUAACAAGUAUAAAGAAGAUUAGACAGAUUAAGAAGGCAACACACAAAAAGGAAAAAAGAAGGCACAUACACUCUCAAGAACAUUCACCGAUAUGAAAAUGUAAAUUCUGGAAACAUCAAUCAGCUACAUAUGAAAAACAGAUACAGAAUAAGGUGGAAGAGGGAGGUUACUUGUCUGGAUUUUGUGUGAUUUACCCUCUGCAUAAUGAAGAUCUAAACCCUCGCCGGCAAGCCGGAUAUUAUGAAGAACAACAACCUGAAUACCAAGAUGGCUGAAGGAAUGGUAGAGAAAGGGAUUAGGGUUAUUGCCUCUUCAGAGAAGAAAGCAAAAAAAUCUACGUUGUGUGCAUUUAAUCGAUUCACUAGGGUUUGGGUAGUUGUGUAGAUUUUGGCUAGAUUUGAGGAAACAGAUGAAGGAAAAGAGACACGAAAGAGAAAAUAGAUGGGUUUGGAAGGGAGAGGUGAAAUUACCGCAUCAAACUUGCCGGAGAAGAAAUUUUGGGGAGAGGACGUCCUGGAAAAGCCCUAAUUUGGUUUUCGGGGGAAAUGAGAUCUGUAUUUUUGCAUUUCUGGAGGGAUUUCGAAAUUAUACUGAAAUCGUAAAAUCCAUCAGAUUUAGUGGCGCUUUUAAAGGUUGCCACAAUUACUCCACUUGUUAUAGCGACUAAGUCGCC